This 82-nucleotide ribosomal RNA is filed under the name uncultured Alphaproteobacteria bacterium. RNAcentral describes it as "partial 16S ribosomal RNA". Lineage: Bacteria; Pseudomonadati; Pseudomonadota; Alphaproteobacteria. The record is from RNAcentral.
AGAGUUUGAUUAUGGCUCAGAAACUCAAAUGAAUUGACGGGGGCUCAAAGAAUUGACGGGAAACUCAAAUGAAUUGACGGGG